GAUGAACGCUAGCUACAGGCUUAACACAUGCAAGUCGAGGGGAAACGAUAGAGAAAGCUUGCUUUUCUAGGCGUCGACCGGCGCACGGGUGAGUAACGCGUAUCCAACCUGCCCACCACUUGGGGAUAACCUUGCGAAAGUAAGACUAAUACCCAAUGACGUCUCUAGAAGACAUCUGAAAGAGAUUAAAGAUUUAUCGGUGAUGGAUGGGGAUGCGUCUGAUUAGCUUGUUGGCGGGGUAACGGCCCACCAAGGCGACGAUCAGUAGGGGUUCUGAGAGGAAGGUCCCCCCACAUUGGAACUGAGACACGGUCCAAACUCCUACGGGAGGCAGCAGUGAGGAAUAUUGGUCAAUGGACGAGAGUCUGAACCAGCCAAGUAGCGUGCAGGAUGACAGCCCUAUGGGUUGUAAACUGCUUUUAUAAGGGAAUAAAGUGAGUCUCGUGUGCCUUUUUGUAUGUACCGUAUGAAUAAGGAUCGGCUAACUCCGUGCCAGCAGCCG
This 502-nucleotide ribosomal RNA is filed under the name uncultured bacterium. RNAcentral's name for it is "bacterial SSU rRNA". It matches the Rfam family "Bacterial small subunit ribosomal RNA", at positions 28 to 517 of the family's 1533-position model. The record is from RNAcentral.